AUGAGUUCCCUCAAAGAAGAUAUCCGAACCAUGAUGGUCCGCUCUUCUACAACUUCGUCCUCUUCAAGACGGAGCCGCUCAAGUCGUCACUCCGACGACACCCUCUCCGGUUCAAGUACACCGACAUCAAACACUCUUCGUCGUGCCGCGCGUCAAGACCGUCAAGCUAACCGAAAUCCUCUACACGACACCGACUCUCAAGAGCUUCGACAUCGUCAAAACCAAGCUACAUUUGCGCAAGCACAAGAACGGCAACGCCAACGACAACAAGAACAAGAGGAGCGAGCGCAACAACAUCAAGAUGCACAAGACGCCGAGGCACAACGUCAAGAACAACAACUACGUGAAGCUCAAGCACUUGAGGCGCAACGUGCCCUUCAAGAUUCAAGUCGUGUCGUAGCCAAUCGAGGCUGA
This 414-nucleotide ribosomal RNA is filed under the name Triticum aestivum (bread wheat). RNAcentral's name for it is "partial small subunit ribosomal RNA". The record is from RNAcentral. Lineage: Eukaryota; Viridiplantae; Streptophyta; Magnoliopsida; Poales; Poaceae.